GAACCUACGGGGGGCAGCAGUGAGGAAUAUUGGUCAAUGGGCGGGAGCCUGAGCCAGCCAAGUCGCGUGAGGGAAGAAGGUACUGAGUAUUGUAAACCUCUUUUGCCAGGGGACAAAGGCGGCCACGGGUGGCCGUAAGAGGGUACCUGGAGAAAAAGCAUCGGCUAACUCCGUGCCAGCAGCCGCGGUAAUACGUAGGGGGCUAGCGUUAUCCGGAAUUACUGGGCGUAAAGGGUGCGUAGGUGGUUUCUUAAGUCAGAGGUGAAAGGCUACGGCUCAACCGUAGUAAGCCUUUGAAACUGGGA
Molecule: ribosomal RNA, 305 nt
Filed under: uncultured bacterium
Lineage: Bacteria
Description: bacterial SSU rRNA
Rfam family: Bacterial small subunit ribosomal RNA
Source: RNAcentral